This 267-nucleotide ribosomal RNA is filed under the name uncultured Pseudomonas sp. Its description in RNAcentral is "partial 16S ribosomal RNA". It matches the Rfam family "Bacterial small subunit ribosomal RNA", at positions 1117 to 1382 of the family's 1533-position model. Lineage: Bacteria; Pseudomonadati; Pseudomonadota; Gammaproteobacteria; Pseudomonadales; Pseudomonadaceae. The record is from RNAcentral.
ACCAGCACGUUAUGGUGGGCACUCUAAGGAGACUGCCGGUGACAAACCGGAGGAAGGUGGGGAGUGACGUCAAGUCAUCAUGGCCCUUACGGCCUGGGCUACACACGUGCUACAAUGGUCGGUACAAAGGGUUGCCAAGCCGCGAGGUGGAGCUAAUCCCAUAAAACCGAUCGUAGUCCGGAUCGCAGUCUGCAACUCGACUGCGUGAAGUCGGAAUCGCUAGUAAUCGUGAAUCAGAAUGUCACGGUGAAUACGUUCCCGGGCCUU